Molecule: long non-coding RNA, 567 nt
Organism: Lolium rigidum
Lineage: Eukaryota; Viridiplantae; Streptophyta; Magnoliopsida; Poales; Poaceae
Exons: 3
Source: RefSeq, a predicted model, not a curated record
UUUCCUCCCUCUCUCGCCGUCGCCGAUUGGGCCGUCGACGAACGCAGGGUCUAGGUCGACGGGCGACGACGUCUUCAUCGAGCGGUCCUUCAGGUCCUUCUUCUCCUCCGCGCAGGUCCUCCUCCUCCGUUGAAGAACAUGACGUGGACAGAGGUGGAUUUCUUCCUUAAGUGGAAGACCUAGCCUUGCCGCCGCACCGGGAAGAUCGACCCCGCCGCGACAAUACGACGAGCAGGAGAAGGACCUAGAGGAAUGUGCGGAUCAGGGAGGAUCACCGCCGUCUCCAGUUUGACUUCAUUGGUCGACGACCACUUGCCUGAUCCAUCCUGACUCAUGCUGAAGUUUCAGCUGAUGCCUUCGGGAUGGUUGUGAUGCAAGAUGGAGUGAUAUCUAACUAUGGGUAUACUCAAUUUUACUCACAUAUCUCUGAUUUGGGUCAUUGGCUAUUUCUCUUGCUGCUCAAUGUUCAUAUAUGCACUUGGGUAAUCUCAUAUAUGUUAACUUGUGGACCAGAGAUCUAUAUGCUUAGAAGUGAAUCUCAUAUAUGUUAACUUGGGUAAUCUCAUA